This 564-nucleotide ribosomal RNA is filed under the name uncultured bacterium. RNAcentral describes it as "bacterial SSU rRNA". It matches the Rfam family "Bacterial small subunit ribosomal RNA", at positions 338 to 916 of the family's 1533-position model. The record is from RNAcentral.
CCUACGGGAGGCAGCAGUGGGGAAUCUUGCGCAAUGGGCGAAAGCCUGACGCAGCAACGCCGCGUGCGGGAAGAAGGCUUUCGGGCUGUAAACCGCUUUCAGCAGGAACGAAAAUGACGGUACCUGCAGAAGAAGGAGCGGCCAACUAUGUGCCAGCAGCCGCGGUGAUACAUAGGCUUCAAGCGUUGUCCGGAUUUAUUGGGCGUAAAGAGUUCGUAGGCGGUCGAGUAAGUCGGGUGUGAAAAUUCUGGGCUCAACCCAGAGACGCCACCCGAUACUGCUUGACUUGAGUUCGAUAGGGGAGUGGGGAAUUCCUAGUGUAGCGGUGAAAUGCGCAGAUAUUAGGAGGAACACCGGUGGCGAAGGCGCCACUCUGGAUCGAUACUGACGCUGAGGAACGAAAGCAUGGGUAGCAAACAGGAUUAGAUACCCUGGUAGUCCAUGCCGUAAACGGUGGGCACUAGGUGUGGGUUUCUAUUAACGAAAUCCGCGCCGUCGCUAACGCAUUAAGUGCCCCGCCUGGGGAGUACGGUCGCGAAGACUAAAACUCAAAUGAAUUGACGG